CGCUGUCUCUCCACGUCCUCGCGACGGCGGCUGCGCUGGCUCCCCGUCACCUCGGUCGCUGUGGAGCUCCGCGAGGCCACUGCCGGGGGCGGAGACUCGCUCCGUGUCACCAAGACGCCACAGCCUGGAUCCAGUGUUAAGUUCAGCGUGGAGGUGCCUACUUCCAUCAUUCACGAGUGCUACCAAUCCACGCUACAGGAGUACGCCAAACGUGUUAAGGUUCCUGGAUUUUGGCCUGGGAAGACCAUUCCAGAAAACGUUCUUAUAAACUAUGUAGGACCGCAACAUGUACAGGAUGCCACGAUUGAGCUAUCUUAAAACAUACGCUUCCUCAAGCACUGUCCUC
Molecule: long non-coding RNA, 346 nt
Organism: Zea mays
Lineage: Eukaryota; Viridiplantae; Streptophyta; Magnoliopsida; Poales; Poaceae
Exons: 3
Source: RefSeq, a predicted model, not a curated record